Molecule: ribosomal RNA, 797 nt
Filed under: uncultured bacterium
Lineage: Bacteria
Description: bacterial SSU rRNA
Rfam family: Bacterial small subunit ribosomal RNA
Source: RNAcentral
AGAGUUUGAUCCUGGCUCAGGAUGAACGCUAGCGGCAGGCUUAAUACAUGCAAGUCGAGGGGCAGCAUGACUGUAGCAAUACAGUUGAUGGCGACCGGCAAACGGGUGCGGAACACGUACAGAACCUUCCUUCGAGCGGGGAAUAGCCCAGAGAAAUUUGGAUUAAUACCCCAUAGAACUAUGAAGUGGCAUCACUUUAUACUUAAAGAUUUAUCACUUGAAGAUGGCUGUGCGGCUGAUUAGGUAGUUGGCGGGGUAACGGCCCACCAAGCCUGCGAUCAGUAACUGGUGUGAGAGCACGACCAGUCACACGGGCACUGAGACACGGGCCCGACUCCUACGGGAGGCAGCAGUAAGGAAUAUUGGUCAAUGGACGAAAGUCUGAACCAGCCAUGCCGCGUGGAGGAUGAAGGCCCUCUGGGUUGUAAACUUCUUUUAUAUGGGACGAAAAAGGGUCUUUCUAGAUCAACUGACGGUACCAUUUGAAUAAGCACCGGCUAACUCCGUGCCAGCAGCCGCGGUAAUACGGAGGGUGCAAGCGUUAUCCGGAUUCACUGGGUUUAAAGGGUGCGUAGGUGGGUUGGUAAGUCAGUGGUGAAAUCUCCAAGCUUAACUUGGAAACUGCCAUUGAUACUAUCAGUCUUGAAUAUUGUGGAGGUUAGCGGAAUAUGUCAUGUAGCGGUGAAAUGCUUAGAUAUGACAUAGAACACCAAUUGCGAAGGCAGCUGGCUACACAUAUAUUGACACUGAGGCACGAAAGCGUGGGGAUCAAACAGGAUUAGAUACCCUGGUAGUCG